RNAcentral lists this ribosomal RNA (469 nucleotides) under Pantoea agglomerans. RNAcentral describes it as "bacterial SSU rRNA". It matches the Rfam family "Bacterial small subunit ribosomal RNA", at positions 8 to 475 of the family's 1533-position model. Lineage: Bacteria; Pseudomonadati; Pseudomonadota; Gammaproteobacteria; Enterobacterales; Erwiniaceae. The record is from RNAcentral.
AGAGUUUGAUCCUGGCUCAGAUUGAACGCUGGCGGCAGGCCUAACACAUGCAAGUCGAACGGUAGCACAGAGAGCUUGCUCUCGGGUGACGAGUGGCGGACGGGUGAGUAAUGUCUGGGAAACUGCCUGAUGGAGGGGGAUAACUACUGGAAACGGUAGCUAAUACCGCAUAACGUCGCAAGACCAAAGAGGGGGACCUUCGGGCCUCUUGCCAUCAGAUGUGCCCAGAUGGGAUUAGCUAGUAGGUGGGGUAACGGCUCACCUAGGCGACGAUCCCUAGCUGGUCUGAGAGGAUGACCAGCCACACUGGAACUGAGACACGGUCCAGACUCCUACGGGAGGCAGCAGUGGGGAAUAUUGCACAAUGGGCGCAAGCCUGAUGCAGCCAUGCCGCGUGUAUGAAGAAGGCCUUCGGGUUGUAAAGUACUUUCAGCGGGGAGGAAGGUGUUGUGGUUAAUAACCGCAGCAA